UGAAGAUUGCCUACCAGACCCUUGUCACGGACAUGGAAGUUGUUUUAACAGUUUGCAUGGUUACUUAUGUAGUUGCAAUGCUGGUUAUUCAGGAACAAAUUGUAAUAACAGUAAGAAAAGUAUUACUCUAGAGUAAAAUUAUAGCUAAAUAUAUAACAAAAAAAGAUUGACUAAAAUAUAAAGAUUUGUCAAAUGUGUCGUAUAUAGAUAAUUAUGAAGACAUAGAUUUCUAUUCAUCAUACAUCUAAUUUCUAUUUAUAAGGAUUUAAACUACUGGUACGUAAUAACGUACUUAGUGCAGUUUCUCAUUUCGCAGUUACAUUGUACUAGAGUUUAAAUAUUUCUAACAGCAUUGUCGUAAUGGUAAUUAAAUCAAUGAUGACUAAAAUGUUCAAGUCUCUUUCAUUAAAAAAAUACAACCAUAUUGUACUCUUUCAGAUGUACAUCGUAAGUUCAAUGGAAGAAGAUUUCUAAGAUUGUAGCUUAUUAUGUUAUGUAUACUUUAAUGAUUAUAUGCAUAGUUACAGUUUAUAAGAGUAUUUAUCUUGGUAAAUAUCAAUGUAUAUAUAUUCAUUGAAAUACAAUCUCUUUGAGGAUUACAAACUUUAUGUGUAAACUAUAAAAUUGAGAAUUGAAAUGGGGAAUGUGUCAUAGAGACAACAACCCGACCAAAGAGCAGACAACUAGUCUUCCGUGCAACUAAUGUUUGCUAAGAAUUAUUUGUCUAUUCCUGAAAAAAUCAAACAAGUUAAUACUGAUUGCGUAAACUGUGAAAAACUAUAUUUAAGGGGUUAUACCUUGGUCCAAGAAGAUAACUCUUAAAAUCAGUUAUGCGUUUGUAAAAGUCAAGUUUUGUCAAUGAAUUUUAAGCAUUUACCUGAAACAGAUUGGAAAUAAUCUAUGUAUCCUAGAAGCUUAGAACACAUUUAUGAAAAUGGCUGACACAAACGUACUGAUGAUUGUAAGAGUUAUUUCCCUUAACCUACGUCUACCUUCUUAAGGUAACAAUUAAAUGCAAUACUGGCUUUGUUUUGUAAACAAAAUUGAAAGCGAAUAAUGAAAGCAAAAUAUUUACACCACAGUAAGAAAAUAAAAACCUGAUCAGUCAAUUUUGAAAGUGAUUAGUUCCUACUUUUCUUUUUGGUUACAACAUUUGUAACUUGAAGUCUUAAUAUCUGCAAAAGAUAAACUUUACACUCAAAACAUCUAAAAACAUUUUAAAUUUUACAUGAUAUUACAAUUAAUUCAAUCUUCAAUCAUUCAACAAAAAAUAGGUAACACUCCACAACGAUGAAAAUAUAAUUUUCAGUUAAAUGUUUAUCAAUCCAUUUGAUAACAUAAUAUUUUAGAUUGUUCACCUGAUCCUUGCAAUGGUCACGGUAUGUGCCAUUAUACCCAGAUAGGAUUUACAUGUACAUGCAACAAAGGAUACACAGGUCAAACGUGUGCUUCAGGUA
This 1457-nucleotide long non-coding RNA is filed under the name Mytilus galloprovincialis (Mediterranean mussel). Lineage: Eukaryota; Metazoa; Mollusca; Bivalvia; Mytilida; Mytilidae. The record is from RNAcentral.